UGGGGAAUUUUGGACAAUGGGCGAAAGCCUGAUCCAGCAAUGCCGCGUGUGUGAAGAAGGCCUUCGGGUUGUAAAGCACUUUUGUCCGGAAAGAAAUCCUUGGCUCUAAUACAGUCGGGGGAUGACGGUACCGGAAGAAUAAGCACCGGCUAACUACGUGCCAGCAGCCGCGGUAAUACGUAGGGUGCAAGCGUUAAUCGGAAUUACUGGGCGUAAAGCGUGCGCAGGCGGUUUGCUAAGACCGACGUGAAAUCCCCGGGCUCAACCUGGGAACUGCAUUGGUGACUGGCAGGCUAGAGUAUGGCAGAGGGGGGUAGAAUUCCACGUGUAGCAGUGAAAUGCGUAGAGAUGUGGAGGAAUACCGAUGGCGAAGGCAGCCCCCUGGGCCAAUACUGACGCUCAUGCACGAAAGCGUGGGGAGCAAACAGGAUUAGAUACCCUGGUAGUCCACGCCCUAAACGAUGUCAACUAGUUGUUGGGGAUUCAUUUCCUAGUAACGUAGCUAACGCGUGAAGUUGACCGCCU
Molecule: ribosomal RNA, 525 nt
Filed under: uncultured bacterium
Lineage: Bacteria
Description: partial 16S ribosomal RNA
Rfam family: Bacterial small subunit ribosomal RNA
Source: RNAcentral